CUUCUAUUUAAUAUACUGGUAGAUAAUAGUAGGGGUGGCAAAAUAUUAUCCGACCCACCAAUCUGACCAGUAUUCGAUCCAUCUUGAACAGGUUUGGGCCUAGCCUAAAUGAAUUUGGAUCGUAAAUGAGUUAACUCAUUUAAUCUAUUUAAUAUUUUAAUCAAAUUUAUGUUUCAGAUGUCUAACCUGUUUAACCCAUUUAAUUUUUGGGCC
Molecule: long non-coding RNA, 213 nt
Filed under: Elaeis guineensis (African oil palm)
Lineage: Eukaryota; Viridiplantae; Streptophyta; Magnoliopsida; Arecales; Arecaceae
Description: long non-coding RNA (EGUI_LNC030624)
Source: RNAcentral